GCAUUGGUGGUUCAGUGGUAGCAUAUUUGCCUUCCAUGCAGGAGACCUGGGUUUGAUUCCUGGCUAGUGCA
RNAcentral lists this transfer RNA (71 nucleotides) under Loxodonta africana (African savanna elephant). It matches the Rfam family "tRNA". From Rfam's summary of the family: Transfer RNA (tRNA) molecules are approximately 80 nucleotides in length. Their secondary structure includes four short double-helical elements and three loops (D, anti-codon, and T loops). Lineage: Eukaryota; Metazoa; Chordata; Mammalia; Proboscidea; Elephantidae. The record is from Rfam by way of RNAcentral.